GACGAACGCUGGCGGCGUGCCUAAUACAUGCAAGUUGAGCGAUGAAGAUUGGUGCUUGCACCAAUUUGAAGAGCAGCGAACGGGUGAGUAACGCGUGGGGAAUCUGCCUUUGAGCGGGGGACAACAUUUGGAAACGAAUGCUAAUACCGCAUAACAACUUUAAACAUAAGUUUUAAGUUUGAAAGAUGCAAUUGCAUCACUCAAAGAUGAUCCCGCGUUGUAUUAGCUAGUUGGUGAGGUAAAGGCUCACCAAGGCGAUGAUACAUAGCCGACCUGAGAGGGUGAUCGGCCACAUUGGGACUGGGACACGGCCCAAACUCCUACGGGAGGCAGCAGUAGGGAAUCUUCGGCAAUGGACGAAAGGCUGACCGAGCAACGCCGCGGGAGUGAAGAAGGGUGUCGGAUCGUAAAACUCUGUUGGUAGAGAAGAACGUUGGUGAGAGUGGAAAGCUCAUCAAGUGACGGUAACUACCCAGAAAGGGACGGCUAACUACGUG
This 497-nucleotide ribosomal RNA is filed under the name uncultured bacterium. RNAcentral's name for it is "partial 16S ribosomal RNA". It matches the Rfam family "Bacterial small subunit ribosomal RNA", at positions 28 to 507 of the family's 1533-position model. The record is from RNAcentral.